RNAcentral lists this ribosomal RNA (325 nucleotides) under uncultured eukaryote. RNAcentral's name for it is "partial 18S ribosomal RNA". It matches the Rfam family "Eukaryotic small subunit ribosomal RNA", at positions 1470 to 1796 of the family's 1831-position model. The record is from RNAcentral.
CCCUUAGAUGUUCUGGGCCGUACGCGCGCUACACUGAUGAACGCAACGAGCUCCUCCCUUAUUCGAAAGAAUUGGGUAAACUUGUGAAAGUUCAUCGUGAUGGGGAUAGAUUAUUGCAAUUAUUAAUCUUCAACGAGGAAUUCCUAGUAAGCGUGAGUCAUCAGCUCACGUUGAUUACGUCCCUGCCCUUUGUACACACCGCCCGUCGCUCCUACCGAUUGAAUGGUCCGGUGAAAUCUUCGGAUUGCUGACCAUGGCAUUUAUUUGUCUUGGUUGCGAGAAGUUGAUUAAACCUUAUCAUUUAGAGGAAGGAGAAGUCGUANCA